Molecule: ribosomal RNA, 245 nt
Filed under: uncultured bacterium
Lineage: Bacteria
Description: partial 16S ribosomal RNA
Rfam family: Bacterial small subunit ribosomal RNA
Source: RNAcentral
UACGGAGGGUGCAAGCGUUAUUCGGAAUUACUAGGUGUAAAGGGCGUGUAGGCGGUUUAAUAAGUUAGAUGUGAAAACUCAUAGCUCAACUAUGAGCCUGCAUCUAAAACUGUUAGACUUGAGUAUGGAAGGGGAAAACGGAAUUUCUAGUGUAGCGGUGGAAUGUGUAGAUACUAGAAGGAACACCGAUGGCGAAAGCGGUUUUCUGGUCCAAUACUGACGCUAAGGCGCGAAAGCUAGGGGAG